AUACCCCUGCUUUGUGCGAUAUGUUGCAGUUUCUUUUUAAUCCGACAAGCCUUAGAAUAGGGAAUCGUUCUCCGUUGGCGAAUUGCAGACCUCCCCUUACGGGAAGAAGGGAGCAGGAAACCAAAGGGACGGUAUACCCACCGUCAUUGCGACGGGUUCUAAACCGACUGCAGACGGCAAAGCGGGGAUAUA
This is a non-coding RNA of 192 nucleotides. It matches the Rfam family "6S / SsrS RNA". Rfam says of the family: E. coli 6S RNA was the first non coding RNA to be sequenced, but its function was unknown until recently.